GACGAACGCUGGCGGCGUGCUUAACACAUGCAAGUCGAACGGAAAGGCCCUGCUUUUGUGGGGUGCUCGAGUGGCGAACGGGUGCGUAACACGUGAGUAACCUGCCCUUGACUUUGGGAUAACUUCAGGAAACUGGGGCUAAUACCGGAUAGGAGCUCCUGCUGCAUGGUGGGGGUUGGAACGUUUCGGCGGUUGGGGAUGGACUCGCGGCUUAUCAGCUUGUUGGUGGGGUAGUGGCUUACCAAGGCUUUGACGGGUAGCCGGCCUGAGAGGGUGACCGGCAACAUUGGGACUGAGAGACGGCCCAGACUCCUACGGGAGGCAGCAGUGGGGAAUAUUGCACAAUGGGCGGAAGCCUGAUGCAGCAACGCCGCGUGCGGGAUGACGGCCUUCGGGUUGUAAACCGCUUUCGCCUGUGACGAAGCGUGAGUGACGGUAAUGGGUAAAGAAGCACCGGCUAACUACGUG
RNAcentral lists this ribosomal RNA (468 nucleotides) under uncultured bacterium. Its description in RNAcentral is "partial 16S ribosomal RNA". It matches the Rfam family "Bacterial small subunit ribosomal RNA", at positions 28 to 507 of the family's 1533-position model. The record is from RNAcentral.